RNAcentral lists this ribosomal RNA (496 nucleotides) under uncultured bacterium. RNAcentral describes it as "partial 16S ribosomal RNA". It matches the Rfam family "Bacterial small subunit ribosomal RNA", at positions 28 to 507 of the family's 1533-position model. The record is from RNAcentral.
GAUGAACGCUGGCGGCGUGCCUAAUACAUGCAAGUCGAGCGAACAGACGAGGAGCUUGCUCCUCUGACGUUAGCGGCGGACGGGUGAGUAACACGUGGAUAACCUACCUAUAAGACUGGGAUAACUUCGGGAAACCGGAGCUAAUACCGGAUAAUAUAUUGAACCGCAUGGUUCAAUAGUGAAAGACGGUUUUGCUGUCACUUAUAGAUGGAUCCGCGCCGCAUUAGCUAGUUGGUAAGGUAACGGCUUACCAAGGCAACGAUGCGUAGCCGACCUGAGAGGGUGAUCGGCCACACUGGAACUGAGACACGGUCCAGACGCCUACGGGAGGCAGCAGUAGGGAAUCUUCCGCAAUGGGCGAAAGCCUGACGGAGCAACGCCGCGUGAGUGAUGAAGGUCUUCGGAUCGUAAAACUCUGUAUUAGGGAAGAACAAAUGUGUAAGUAACUAUGCACGUCUUGACGGUACCUAAUCAGAAAGCCACGGCUAACUACGUG